CAUAAAAAUUUAAAACUUUUCUUUACAUGAACAUCAACCAAACUCAACCUGUACAUAAACAUUAACAUAACAUUGAUCCCUCUGUGGGAUCUCAUCAGUGCCCCCAAGGGGUGACAUAACAUACGUUGAGUUGGUUUACAUAAACAUCGUAAAAAUCUCUAAGAUCAUGUGUAAAAGGGAUAACACAAUCUAUGGUCAAGCACACACUAACAUCCAUAAACCUUAUUACAU
RNAcentral lists this long non-coding RNA (231 nucleotides) under Manihot esculenta (cassava). RNAcentral's name for it is "long non-coding RNA (MESC_LNC007393)". Lineage: Eukaryota; Viridiplantae; Streptophyta; Magnoliopsida; Malpighiales; Euphorbiaceae. The record is from RNAcentral.